UGGCUGUAGGCAAAGGAGGGCUACUCAGUGUUUGUGUCAGGGCCGCUGCUGAGCACUGUGGACCCACAGGGAGGAUGAGCAGAGCAGGUCGGUGCUGUGGUCCCUCCUGGCCAGGACACGGAAGCUUCUGGCUCUGAAUUUAAACCCGAAGACAGUCGAGAUCUCAAUGACAGCCAGACAGAGACAGCAUAAGAAAGAAGUGUCCUUUGCAAUUACCCAUCUGCAGUCUUCCAUCGCAGUGCUGACAGCUUCCAGGACAUGAAGUGGAAAAGCAUUUUACCAAACUUUCAGGCUUUGGCCAUCAAUUCCUUCACUUGAGACUAUUUACUCCUGCUUAUGUUUCUCGCCCUGUUAGACAUCACCCUUGAUGGUGAAAAAUGGGUUUAAUACUUGAGCAGUUAAAGUUGUACGCAGUCUAAGCUGGUAAUGUUAUUUUUCUUACACUUUCCUUAUAGCAAAUACCUCACCUCUGCUAUCCUCAGAUUAUUGUACAUGAAAUCCACCUUUAUUAGGAUAGAAUAGAAAAUCAAGAAUAAGAACUGGGUCAGUGGAGUGGUAUUGAUGCUGCACGUCGCUAUAAGCAUUCCCCAGAAUUUUUCCUAGUGCUUGGCAGUAGGCAGAGGACCAUUUCCAUCCCAGGAACCAGCUUGCCCAUGCCAACAGGUAGAUGGAUUUCCAAAUACCAAGUCUGGAAGACGUGGUUUAUCUCUCUAAUGAUCUAAAAGAAAGAUUUAAAUCCCCCAACUCAAGCCAAGCCUGAGGUGGUGGAGACUUGCUUAAUAGGUCCUCAGUGGCACACCCAAUGCAGCUUUGGUGUCUGAAAGGUGAAAGGAGAAAGAUGAUCUUUGGUAAAAGUGAUCACCUUUGGAAAGUCCGGGAGCUUCCCUUCCUGCCCACCCGGUGGGAAAACGUUUUCAUCUUUCAAAGCAUCUUUGUAACCUGCAGCAAUUUGGACUCGCCCAUUAUGAAAGCAGCUCUCUCGCAAGCUGUAAUUCCUUGCCUGGGUCUGUGUGUACUGAAAAGCUCUUAACGGGUGUCCUUUCUCCCACACUCCUUGUAUGCACAGCUCUCCCUCUCCCUCUCUUUC
Molecule: long non-coding RNA, 1087 nt
Organism: Gallus gallus (chicken)
Lineage: Eukaryota; Metazoa; Chordata; Aves; Galliformes; Phasianidae
Source: Ensembl